RNAcentral lists this ribosomal RNA (382 nucleotides) under Agrobacterium tumefaciens. RNAcentral describes it as "bacterial SSU rRNA". It matches the Rfam family "Bacterial small subunit ribosomal RNA", at positions 52 to 481 of the family's 1533-position model. The record is from RNAcentral. Lineage: Bacteria; Pseudomonadati; Pseudomonadota; Alphaproteobacteria; Hyphomicrobiales; Rhizobiaceae.
UACCAUGCAAGUCGAACGCCCCGCAAGGGGAGUGGCAGACGGGUGAGUAACGCGUGGGAACAUACCCUUUCCUGCGGAAUAGCUCCGGGAAACUGGAAUUAAUACCGCAUACGCCCUACGGGGGAAAGAUUUAUCGGGGAAGGAUUGGCCCGCGUUGGAUUAGCUAGUUGGUGGGGUAAAGNNCUACCAAGGCGACGAUCCAUAGCUGGUCUGAGAGGAUGAUCAGCCACAUUGGGACUGAGACACGGCCCAAACUCCUACGGGAGGCAGCAGUGGGGAAUAUUGGACAAUGGGCGCAAGCCUGAUCCAGCCAUGCCGCGUGAGUGAUGAAGGCCUUAGGGUUGUAAAGCUCUUUCACCGGAGAAGAUAAUGACGGUAUCCG